UGCCGGAGUUUUCAGUCAAGUAAUUGAAGACAAAUGAAGAGAGCUCCUCGUCUAACAGUGAAGCGCAGAGUUCGGCAGAGCGUC
Molecule: long non-coding RNA, 84 nt
Organism: Sinocyclocheilus grahami
Lineage: Eukaryota; Metazoa; Chordata; Actinopteri; Cypriniformes; Cyprinidae
Exons: 3
Source: RefSeq, a predicted model, not a curated record